ACAUAACCCUAUCCUUGUCACAGCUAAAAGAAUGGGAUGCAGAAUUUACACGGAAUUCUCAAAAUAUGUUUUAUCUUCGUUGUCAGGAACCCCCAGCGGACCAGCUUCUACUUUCGUUCUUGCGAAUCUGGAGCGGCAAAUGACAUCAGGCCCACUCUAUCCAUCAAUCAGAGGGUAAUUUCCCGCGUUUGUUACCAUAGCACCCACAGCUGUGGUACUCCACCGCUGCUUCUGUCGCCUUCAUCUCAGCUCCCUAUUACCGACCAUAUUUAGAGCUUGUGGUGGGCCUGUGCUCUGUGUCUGCCUGUAUGCCUACUGUGAGGAGCGAACCAGACGGCCUUGGCUCCCCAGUAGCCACGGUAAAAAGGUCGGUCACACAUGACUUCUCUUUUGAACCUGUUCCCUCCUGAGCUUAGAAGACCUUUCAUUCCCUACGCUUAGGGGACUGUGGCUGGUUUACAUCCACUCCACGGUGAUGUGCGAAUCUGCGUGUUAUCUUCAACAAGGGGCUUCAGGAAGCCUUUACACUGCAUUUGGGGAGCGAGUGCUGGGCUCCAGCAGGUCCCCCUCUUCCAGACGCAAGCGCAGCCUGGGCGCUGUGAGCUUCAGCAGAGGCCUACCUGCCUUUCUUGCUCUUCCAGAGACGGAGUCUGGUUUGGGUCAUGCCUGGAGCUCUACUCCCACGGCCAGGCAGGCAGCAAGGAGGAGCAUAAAUGGCUUUGGCGUAAGUUCUUGCAUCCACGAAACUCAACAGGGACUCUGCAGCUUCAGGCAGGGCUCGGAGUUGCCAGUGAUCACCCUGGACACAGUGUCCACCAAAGCCUUGUCCCACCCCAGAAAGGAGCCGUGGUAGUCCUUCCUGUUGUAGGCGUUCACAGAAUUUCAGAGUGGUGCGCCUGAAAGACUAACCAGAGCAUUCCGAGCUUGGUAACACCGGGUCACGAAGCCGGCAGAGAGCCAGCGGCGGCAGAGAGGCCACCCAGUGCUCCGCACCAGGCAGCUCCGAAGGCCUCCGCGGACCUGGCAUUAUCUUCUAGGCCAGUGACAGAUUUCUCUUUUUGUCACCUUUCCUUAGAGACGUCACCACAGCCACAAACCGGCAGAUUUGACAAAACCCCAAACAACUAAAAAAAUGCGAGCGGUACAGGAGCCUUGUUGGCGCAGAAGAUACCUGUGACUGCCUCUGCAUUCCAAUGGCUGGAGAGGCGUCCCGAGGAAAGAACCCUACGAACGCAAUCGAGGCUCAAGGUCACGUGAGCAAAAGGAAGUAACACUUGCAUGGCGAGCAAAGGAAGGCCCCCGCCCACCCGUACCUGUGCAGAUGAAGCUGGAGAGGCCUCCAUAGAUGACUUCGUCAUUGUCGGGCAAUAUGAAC
Non-coding RNA from Peromyscus maniculatus bairdii (prairie deer mouse), 1375 nucleotides. The record is from RefSeq and is a predicted model, not a curated record. NCBI's taxonomy places the organism in Eukaryota, Metazoa, Chordata, Mammalia, Rodentia, Cricetidae.